RNAcentral lists this ribosomal RNA (305 nucleotides) under Amanita muscaria var. alba. RNAcentral's name for it is "LSU rRNA". It matches the Rfam family "Bacterial large subunit ribosomal RNA", at positions 1742 to 2048 of the family's 2925-position model. Lineage: Eukaryota; Fungi; Basidiomycota; Agaricomycetes; Agaricales; Amanitaceae. RNAcentral also lists the same sequence under 1 other name. The record is from RNAcentral.
UUACUGAAACUUUGUUUUAAUAAUUGAUAGAUAAAUGGUGGCACAGAAUCGGAGGCCCCGACUGUUUACUAAAAACACAACACAGUGCAAUCAUUAAUAUGGUAGUAUACUGUGUGAAAUUUGCCCAAUGCCAUUAAUAUAAAAGCGGUCAUAGGAAACUGUGACUAAUUGAAAAUCUGGUUAAUAGCGGUCUUAACCAUGAGGAUCCUAAGGUAGCAAAAUAAAUUGGCCAUUAAAUGUGGUCCGGUAUCAAUAAUGUAACGAUGGCCUCACUGUCUCUACAACUUGCUCAGUGAAAUUGAAUU